Molecule: ribosomal RNA, 646 nt
Filed under: Perenniporia sp. Zhou 120
Lineage: Eukaryota; Fungi; Basidiomycota; Agaricomycetes; Polyporales; Polyporaceae
Description: eukaryotic LSU rRNA
Rfam family: 5.8S ribosomal RNA (bases 226-379)
Source: RNAcentral
AAAUAGCGAGUGAGGAGGACAUUACCGAGUAACUUGAACUGGGUUGUCGCUGGCCUUCUAGUAUAGGAGGCAUUGUGCACGCCUAGCUUCAAUUAAACUCUUAAACCCCUUGUGCACUUAUGGUAGGCUUUUGGAUGGCGAAAGCCAUUCAAGGCCUGCAUUUAUCACACACUAUAAACCAGUAUUAGAAUGUAUACACUGCGGAUUUAUAACGCAUUUAUAUACAACUUUCAGCAACGGAUCUCUUGGCUCUCGCAUCGAUGAAGAACGCAGCGAAAUGCGAUAAGUAAUGUGAAUUGCAGAAUUCAGUGAAUCAUCGAAUCUUUGAACGCACCUUGCGCUCCUUGGUAUUCCGAGGAGCAUGCCUGUUUGAGUGUCAUGAUAUUAUCAACCUAACUGGCCUUUGCGGGUUUUGUUAGGCUUGGACUUGGAGGAUUAAAGUGCGGGCUCUUUUUUAAUAAAGGAGUCUGCUCCUCUUAAAUGCAUUAGCUUGAUUCCUUGCAGAUCAGGCUUGUUGGUGUGAUAAUGUCUACACCACAGCCGUGAAGCAUUUAUUGAGCUUCUAGCCGUCCUACUUACUAGGGACAUUAUAAUUGACCUCUGACCUCAAAUCAGGUAGGACUACCCGCUGAACUUAAGCAUAUCA